UUUCGCAAUGCCCGAAAGGGUGACGAAGCGACGCCGCGUGGGUGAGGAAGGCCUUCGGGUUGUAAAGCCCUGUCAGGAGUUAAGAAAUGUAGAUACGCUAAUAUCGUAUCCAUUUGACAAAGGCUCCAAAGGAAGCCACGGCUAACUCUGUGCCAGCAGCCGCGGUAAUACAGAGGUGGCAAGCGUUGUUCGGAAUUAUUGGGCGUAAAGAGCACGUAGGGGGAUUUGUAAGUCAGACGUGAAAGCCUUCUGUUCAACGGAAGGAUUGCAUCUGAAACUGCAAACCUUGAGUAUAGGAGGGGAGAAUGGAACUUCUGGUGGAGCGGUGAAGUGCGUAGAUAUCAGAAGGAGCGCCGGCGGCGAAAGCGAUUCUCUGGCCUAUUACUGACACUCAGUGUGCGAAAGCUAGGGGAGCAAACGGGAUUAGAUACCCCGGUAGUCCUAGCCGUAAACGAUGGGCACUAAGUAGAGGGGUUUU
Molecule: ribosomal RNA, 478 nt
Filed under: uncultured bacterium
Lineage: Bacteria
Description: bacterial SSU rRNA
Rfam family: Bacterial small subunit ribosomal RNA
Source: RNAcentral